AAGAACCGUCGACCCAAUACCGGAAGAGAGCACACUCUACAAGCUUAACGUAACGAGUAUAUCACAUGUUGUAACCUUUGGGUUUAAGAAUGACUUUAUUCUCGUCCAUAAUUACUUUAUUCUUGUAAGUAAUGACUUUAUACUCGUCAAUAAUGACUUUAUUCUCUUAAAUAAUGGCUUUAUUCGCGUUAAUUAUUACGUUAUCCUUGUUAGAAAUGACUUUAUUCUCGUAAAUUUACGACCUCAAUAUCAGUCAUAUUUUUUUCUCAAUAUGACUUAAUAAUUCGUCAUAUAUAUUAUAUUAAAUUAUAUUAUAUUAUAUUACUUUACUGCCAUACGAAACACCCUAUAUUGUUUUCCUUUUGUAUACAUUAUGUUACAGUUUUACCACACUGGGAUGUAUUUGUAAUCAAACUAUGUCUAGUAUGAUUUAUAGUAUAAUGUGUCAUGUUAUCCCAUUAGUUUUACCUGCCACUUAUCUCAUAAUAUGUCCUUACUGCUCUGUAUAAAUCUUACUGAUUCAUAAACUUUGAACAGUUGUAUACACGA
This is a non-coding RNA of Xyrichtys novacula (pearly razorfish), 549 nucleotides long. The record is from the annotation of a GenBank genome assembly. NCBI's taxonomy places the organism in Eukaryota, Metazoa, Chordata, Actinopteri, Labriformes, Labridae.